GUAAAUUAUUAUAAUGAAAUUUCUUCAUUUUUUUAGUUUUUAAGAAAAUUCCAACAACAAAAUUAAAAUCUUUGUGGUAUUCCUUGAAGAUCAGAAUUUUAUGCAUGAAUAAAAUAGGAGUGAUUUAUUUUCAAAUAACGUAUAAGUAUGUCAGGAAUAGGAUCAAUCUUUUUGAAAGAUUGCCUUAUCCAUGUUUGAAAGAUAAAAGGAGUGGCAGAGCUAUUGAGAGCAUUCAGAUGGAAGAGAAUGUAGAAGAGGAGAUGAGUGGUCAGUCCAAGAAUUGUACAGAUCAUCCAAGAUCGAUGACAAUACCAAAAAGUUUAGAAGUAAAAGAGAUAUUUAUCCCAAAAAAAUUCUGACUUUAAGAUUUUGAAAUAAUAACAGACAAAGUAUGAAUUUCAGAUAUAAAUUAAACAAAAUAUUAUUAAAAUUCAUGUUAG
This 440-nucleotide long non-coding RNA is filed under the name Androctonus crassicauda. Lineage: Eukaryota; Metazoa; Arthropoda; Arachnida; Scorpiones; Buthidae. The record is from RNAcentral.